This 5682-nucleotide long non-coding RNA is filed under the name Medicago truncatula (barrel medic). Its description in RNAcentral is "long non-coding RNA (MTRU_LNC002994)". The record is from RNAcentral. Lineage: Eukaryota; Viridiplantae; Streptophyta; Magnoliopsida; Fabales; Fabaceae.
UUCACCACCACCUCAAUACCAUGAAAAAAACAACAUCAUCAUCUUUCAACUCCAAUUUCUUCAAAGUGGAUAGAACCUGCAUGACAUGGCUCGAAUCUCAACCGUUGAAGUCAGUUGUAUAUGUUAGCUUUGGAAGCACCACAACAAUGACGAGAGAAGAAAUACUUGAGUUUUGGCACGGUUUGUUGAACAGCAAAAAAGCAUUCUUGUGGGUGAUUAGACCAAACAUGGUACAAGAAAAAAGACUAAUAAAAGAACUUGAGGAAGGGACUAGUAAGGAGAAAGGUUUGAUUGUGGAGUGGGCUCCACAAGAGGAAGUUUUGUCACAUAAGGCAAUUGGUGCUUUUUUGACACAUAGUGGAUGGAAUUCUACUUUGGAGAGUGUGGUUUGUGGUGUGCCUAUGAUUUGUUGGCCUUAUUUUUCUGAUCAACCGCUUAAUAGUAGGUUUGUGAGUGAGGUUUGGAAGCUUGGAUUGGAUAUGAAAGAUGUUUGUGAUAGGAAUGUUGUUGAGAAUAUGGUGAAUGAUAUUAUGGUGAACAAGAAGGAGGAGUUUUCAAAAUCUGCUACUAAAAUGGCGGAUUUGGCUUCCAAGAGUGUAAAUCCUGAUGGUUCCUCCUACAACAACCUCCAAGAUUUGAUUCAGUAUAUAAGGUCUACUAGCCCAUAAAAUAUGGGGUGUCCCCUACAAUUCUCCUACUAAAAACUUCUCAUAUUUUUAUGUCUAUCAACAUCACAAAAAGAAGUAUGUAUUUGAAAUACAUACUUCAAAAACAUCGAGGGACAAAGACUGUAUCCUCAUAAAAUAAUUUGAUCACUCUUCUUGUCUCUUUUGUAUUUUUUUUUUUUUUGUCAACAUUUCAUUUGUGUCCAAUUACUUUUUAGUUUAUCGAAGACGAGUGGUUUUGAGUAAUUUUUUUUUGUUAAGAAUCACCUAUUUGCACAAUAUUUUCUUCACUCUUGAUGCAAAUAAGUGGUUUUCAUAUUUAUCAAAUUUUUCUUGUGUAUUUUUGUGUGUGAAUUCAUCGUCUAUGUUCGACAUUAUUGUGUCCGUCGUCUGUGUGUGGUCAUAUUUGAUUUACUGUCUUAUUGAGGUGUUCAUUUAGUUCGACGUCAACGUUGCAUAUCUUAAGACAUGAAUAUUCCAAUCACUUUGAUUUAUCAUAUUAUUUGUGAACAUUUUUGUUGUUGCAUGAUAUUAAGUUGAGUGAUAAAAGUUUGUUAGUAUGUGUUUCCUUUUUGUUUUUAGCGAUAUUGAAUUUAUGUUUGUUUUCGAUGUAUUCUAUCAAUUUACUUGAAUAAAUAUGAUUUAAGUAAAAAGUGAAGGUAAAAUUGGGGUAGUUGUGGCACAAAUAUAAAGUCUUUCAAACCACUUUAAAUUUAUGAGUUUAUAUUCUUUAAACCCUGAAUCUAUACUACAUAUUUUGAUCAAUAAUCUAUAAUUGUUUGCAUAAUUUACUUUUGGGGCAAAUAUCUGCAUAAUCAAUCACCAUUUUGAUGCAAAAUAGUAAAGAUUUAACUUUAAAAAUAAGCAAUGUACGAUUGUGUAGUGGUGUAAAAGUAUUUUUUAAUAGUAGAUGUCAAUCAAAAGUACAAAUCUCUUAUCAGUUAUUCCCUCCGGUCACUAUUAUAAGUAAAUAUUGACUUUUUAGGUUCAUUCAAUAAAUGAUGUAUGUGGUCCAUAUAUAGACUAAAUACAUCAUUUAUUGAAUGAAUUUAAAAAGUGAAUUUUUGCUUAUAAUAGUGACCGGCAGGAGUAAAGUGUUUAUUUAGAAAUAUAUAAAAGACUAUUACUUUUCCCAUCCUGCUGCCUUCUCGUGCACUAUGUAAAAUUUACUAAAAUACCCCUGGUCUGGAUUAUAUAAUCCAUAUCAGAUUGUUAGUGAUUCUUCAAACCCUUUCGAUUUACCUUCUUCAAAACACGAAUUUCUUCAAAAAAUAACUAAAUAAGAAGAAAUGACACGGCUUCUAAUGAUUUGUUGUUGGGUAGUAUACCCAAUAAAAUUCAAGGAUAUGGGAGGUGUCACCAAAGAAGGCAGGUGACAUUUAAUUUGGGAAAGGAGACUUCUUUCCCACCAUAGGAAAGUCUUUUUUUUACCAUUAGAUUGAGUAGUACCACCAUUGUUAUUAUAGUCUAUCCACACUAUAUUUUCUUCACAUCAUCUCUAACCUUAACAUCAACAUGGAAAUCCAGAAGGACAUGGAACAUCACAACAAAACAUCAACAAUCAACAUAACAACAACAACACACUCUUCUCUCCUUCGAAAAUCAAAACAAAACAACAUGGAAAUUAGAUGUUUUCUUUUAUUGUUACCUUUAUCUUACUUUUCUUCUAUUUUCAUCAUACAGUAUCUGCAUUCAUCAAUACACCAAAUUAAAUUAGAAUUAGAUGUAUCUGGAUUUAAAUUCAGAUUUGAUUGUUUGUACAAAAAAAUCUUAGACUUUGUAUCUUUAUGACAGAUGUUUGAAGAAUUUAGCUAACAUAUCCAAUUUGAGUGCUGAUAUAUUCAGUAGAGAAAGAGAAGAAACAUAAGGAUGAAGAUAAAGAUGAUGAGAAAAAGGAAAAGAAGGAUAAGGAGAAGAAGAAGGAAAAGAAGGACAAAACUGAUGUAGAGGAGAAGGAACAUAAGAAGGACAAAGAUAAGAAGAAAAAGGUGGGAAAGAAUCGCAAUUUUAAUGGUUAGUGAAGAUAGUAAGAUAAGAAUUCAGUGUUGAGAGACUAUUGUAAUAGUGUGUUCUUUGUAUGAUCCAAUGGUUAGAAAAGACUUUCCCAUAAUGGGAAAGAAGUCUCUUUUCCCAAAUUAAAUGCCACCACGAAGGCAUUCCUUUUAGUUUUGAAAAAAGUUAUUUGGGGUACAUAAAAGAGAGAAGAGAAAAUAUAAAAAUUAAAAAUAUGAUUGGUUAAAAAGAAAAGUAACAUGAGUGUAACAGAUAUUUUAUGUGUUAGUAGGUUAAACUCUUACACAUAAAAUAAUUUAACUAGCUGAUAAAAUAGGAAGAAGAAAAAAGUUAACACCCAUAUUCCCCACAUGUACCAUACAAACGUGUUUGUGUUCAAUAAAGACAUCAAAAUAUUAGUGCCAAAAUAAACAAGACAUCAAGAUAUUUUGUACCGGUCAAAAUAUUAGUGCUCAAUCAGGCUGGGCCUCCAAAUACUUCGGGCCUCUAACGAAAAAUUAAAUCUAAUAACCACCUCCACUUAAAUAAAAAAUAUAUAUGUUAUAUCAUUUUCUUUCUUUAGUACACGUUUGAGUUUUUUCUAGACUCUAGUUCUCCUUUUUGUACAUAAAUCGGAUCCUAAAAAAAAACCAUCCCUAAUUUGUAUAAUCACUUAAUCAGUCAAUUUGAAAAGUUAUUUCAUUGAAAGAAUCACAACAAUCAUUUUUUUCUUCGCAUAAACCAUUCGUUUUACCCUUUUCUACAACAGAGGAGUGUCAAAUUCAAACGACACCGUUAGAUAAAUUUCACCUCUUUUACUUAAUUUUUUUUAAUUCCUUUCAUGUUUAGAACUUCUUCUUAUUCUAAUUUUUUUUUUAAUGAAAUUUAGCUAUACAAAAAAAUUACGUUUUAUUUUACUAUGACCUAUUUUAAAAAGAGAGCCGAACCUCCUAUUUCACGGGAUGCAAUAACAUGUUAUAGCACAAGGGGUAAUCUUAGAGUUGAAAAAUUGAAAAAUAUCUUCCCAACUUAUAGUUCUUUUUCAAUUUUUGUUAUAGAUCUCUAAGAUUGUUGAAAAAUUGAAAAAAAAUCAAUGGAUAUACAACCCAAGAAAAAAUCCUUACCACAUGUGCUAAUCUUCCCAUGUCCAGCACAAGGCCAUGUAAAUCCAAUGCUAAAGCUAGCUGAACUUCUUGCAAUUCAAAACAUCUACAUCACUUUUCUCAACACCAAAUACAUCCAUAACCGACUCAUACAAUUCAAUGAUGAUAUUCAAGCUCUUUUAGAAUGUUACCCUAAGCUUCAAUUCAAGACCAUCUCUGAUUUUCACAGUGAGGAGAAACAUCCUGGAUUUGGAGAAAAGGUAGGUGAUGUAAUUUUGUCACUGAGUUUGUAUGGUAAGCCUUUGUUGAAAGAUAUAAUUGUCUCCGAGAAAAUAAGUUGCAUUAUUUUGGAUGGAAUAUUUGGUGAUCUUGCUACUGAUUUGGCUGCUGAGUUUGGGAUACAAUUGAUUCAUUUUCGUACUAUUAGUGCUUGUUGCUUUUGGGCUUAUUUAUCUGUUCCAAAGCUCUUGGAGUGCAAUGAGCUUCCCAUUAAAGGUAUUAUAACACUGAAACUGCUCUUAGAGUUUUAAUUAACAGAUUUUUUUUUUCUUUAUAAUUUUCACUUGGUUCUUGAUUAUUAUUUCUUUUGCCAAAAUAAUUGAGUAAAAAAUGUUCCACUCAAAACACCAUCUUAGGGAUCUAGUAGGUGAAGCAGUAGUGGAUAAUCUGAAUCGGUUAUUAUAUUGUUGAAUUAUUUCAUUUUAUCAUGGAUAAACAUAUGCCUCUUUACUUUUCCUUUAACUAAAUAGUUAGAUAGUGUUAGCCAAAUCCUAACUAAACUAACAAAAAUGCGGAGUUUGAACCAUAGCUUAUCCAUUUAUGUAAGUUUUUAAUGACUAUUGUCAUCUAGUCUAGGUAGAAAAGUAAAAAUAGUUUCACAUAUUUUUUUUUAGGAUUAAAUAAAUAAAUGGUCCCUUUAAAUAUACAAACAUUUGAUUUUAGUUCCUCUAAAAUAUUCUUUAGACUUUUGGUCUCUCUAAAAAAUUUCAUCUAUGAAAUUAGUUUUUGCUCUACAUUGAGUAUUACACUAGAGCAUGGACUAAUUUCAUACAUGAAAAUUUUUAGAGGGAACAAAAGCCAAAAUAAUAUUUUAGGAAAACUAAAAUCAAAUGUUAGUAUAUUUCAGAGGACUAUUUACUUAUUUAACCCUUUUUUAUAUAGACACAUGCAACCUUUGAAUUAACUAGGUAUUUUUGUUUUAGGUUUCUUCUAACGCAACAAAAUGUAUUUAAUUUUUCUCUGUAACUUUUUUUUUGUAACUUUUGUUAUAGAUGAAUUUUGCUACACAUUGGUGCAUGCUGAAUAAGAAACACUUCUAACAGAAGGUGUUAUAGAUGAACGAAUGAUACAUUAUAGAGUUGAUAGUGACAAAAUGUGAAUAAAUGCGACUGAUGCAAAUAAUAUGAUUGUAUAUUUAUUCAAAUAAAAUGAGUUAUACGAGUGUUCUUGUUUAAUUUAUAGGAGAUGAGGACAUGGAUCGCAUCAUAAGAAACGUGCCAGGCAUGGAAAACUUGCUUCGAUGUAGAGAUCUUCCAAGUUUCCGUAAAAUGGAUGAUAGUGAUACCAUAUUAGACAAGGCUGCACUUCUGACCCAACAAUCACUUAAAGGCAAUGCACUAAUACUCAACACGUUCGAGAAUCUAGAAUCCCCAGCUCUCUCUCAAAUUCGUCUUCAUGCCCCUAAACUCUACACCAUUGGCCCUCUUCACCACCACCUCAACACCACAAAAAAAACAUCAUCGUCAUCGUCCUCCUCCUCCAAGAGCAAUUUCUUCGAAGUGGAUAGAACUUGCAUGACAUGGCUUGAAUCUCAACCGUUGAAAUCGGUUGUAUAUGUUAGCUUUGGUAGCAUCACCCCAAUGAAGGGAGAAGAAAUCAUUGAGAUUUGGCACGGUUUAUUGAAUAGCAAAAAACCAUUUUUG